GAAAUGCGAUAAGUAAUGUGAAUUGCAGAAUUCAGUGAAUCAUCGAAUCUUUGAACGCACAUUGCGCCCGCCAGUAUUCUGGCGGGCAUGCCUGUUCGAGCGUCAUUUCAACCAUCAAGCCCCCGGCUUGUGUUGGGGACCUGCGGCUGCCCGCAGGCCCUGAAAAACAGUGGCGGGCUCGCUGUCACACCGAGCGUAGUAGCAUACAUUCUCGCUCAGGGCGUGCUGUGGGUUCCGGCCGUUAAACGACCUUCAUAACCCAAGGUUGACCUCGGAUCAGGUAGGAAGGCCCGCUGAACUUAAGC
RNAcentral lists this unclassified non-coding RNA (305 nucleotides) under plant metagenome. Its description in RNAcentral is "partial contains 5.8S ribosomal RNA, internal transcribed spacer 2, and large subunit ribosomal RNA". The stretch from base 1 to 105 matches the Rfam family "5.8S ribosomal RNA", at positions 50 to 154 of the family's 154-position model. The record is from RNAcentral.